GUCAUGUUAGUAAUGCAGCUUCUCUUUUUCCAGAACGGAAAGAAGGUUGAAGAAUCUACCCACAGAGGCUCAUGGCACACCUGAUGCUCCACCAGGCCGUCCAGGCCUGACUCGCUCUACCUAACUCACCUGCCCUCUGGUCUUGUCACAUCUUCCUGGAGCUGAGCCACCGAAGGGGAGAUGCUGUUAGAAGUACGAAGUUAAAUGCAGAGCCCUGGAGAUGCCUGGAAGCACACACGAGAUGAGCACAGCCAUUCACGGAAGACCUAAGAAAUGGAAAAUGUGCAGGAUAAACUUUUCACCAUGACAAAGUAGAGCCAUGUCGCUGGUUCCAAUAUGGGAUUGACAGCAGGAAGUAAUGACAAUAAGCUUACAAAGUAUUUUCUUCUAAGUCUCAGCAAGAUACCUGUCACGUGGGUGUUAAUCUCCCCAUUUUGCACAUGAGAAAGCUGAGCACAGAAGAGUGAGUAUCUUGUACCACCGCCUGUAGGGCCUGCAUUGAUACGUUGUUUGACUUCUGACUCCCAAAAUGGAAGCUCUCCUCUUGCAUAACACUGAGUUAACAAUCACAUGAAAGUCCAACAGCAGCGUUCCCUAAGCUUCCUGUUUAAAAUGGAAUGUUUUUCCCGUGCGCCGCCAUGAAGACGUGAAUGUUCACUUGACCCGACAUCCAUGAGUUAAUAGGAUUCGGGAAGUGCUUCGCAGGGCAGGCCCGUGUCCCAUCCACCCAACACAGUGUAGA
Molecule: long non-coding RNA, 742 nt
Organism: Talpa occidentalis (Iberian mole)
Lineage: Eukaryota; Metazoa; Chordata; Mammalia; Eulipotyphla; Talpidae
Exons: 4
Source: RefSeq, a predicted model, not a curated record